RNAcentral lists this ribosomal RNA (1004 nucleotides) under Pedobacter suwonensis. Its description in RNAcentral is "bacterial SSU rRNA". It matches the Rfam family "Bacterial small subunit ribosomal RNA", at positions 67 to 1075 of the family's 1533-position model. Lineage: Bacteria; Pseudomonadati; Bacteroidota; Sphingobacteriia; Sphingobacteriales; Sphingobacteriaceae. The record is from RNAcentral.
CGAUAGAUAAGGGCUUGCUCUUAUCGAAAGUGGCGCACGGGUGCGUAACGCGUAUGCAACCUACCUUAAUCUGGGGGAUAGCCCGGAGAAAUCCGGAUUAAUACCGCAUAAAAUCACAGGAUGGCAUUAUCCAAUGAUCAAACAUUUAUGGGAUUGAGAUGGGCAUGCGUGUCAUUAGCUAGUUGGCGGGGUAACGGCCCACCAAGGCGACGAUGACUAGGGGAUCUGAGAGGAUGGCCCCCCACACUGGUACUGAGACACGGACCAGACUCCUACGGGAGGCAGCAGUAAGGAAUAUUGGUCAAUGGAGGCAACUCUGAACCAGCCAUGCCGCGUGCAGGAAGACUGCCCUAUGGGUUGUAAACUGCUUUUAUCCGGGAAUAAACCUAAGUACGUGUACUUAGCUGAAUGUACCGGAAGAAUAAGGAUCGGCUAACUCCGUGCCAGCAGCCGCGGUAAUACGGAGGAUCCAAGCGUUAUCCGGAUUUAUUGGGUUUAAAGGGUGCGUAGGCGGCCUGUUAAGUCAGGGGUGAAAGACGGUAGCUCAACUAUCGCAGUGCCCUUGAUACUGAUGGGCUUGAAUGGACUAGAGGUAGGCGGAAUGAGACAAGUAGCGGUGAAAUGCAUAGAUAUGUCUCAGAACACCGAUUGCGAAGGCAGCUUACUAUGGUCCUAUUGACGCUGAGGCACGAAAGCGUGGGGAUCAAACAGGAUUAGAUACCCUGGUAGUCCACGCCCUAAACGAUGAACACUCGCUGUUGGCGAUACACAGUCAGCGGCUAAGCGAAAGCGUUAAGUGUUCCACCUGGGGAGUACGCUCGCAAGAGUGAAACUCAAAGGAAUUGACGGGGGCCCGCACAAGCGGAGGAGCAUGUGGUUUAAUUCGAUGAUACGCGAGGAACCUUACCCGGGCUUGAAAGUUAGUGAAUCAUCCAGAGAUGGAUGAGUGAGCAUCACACGAAACUAGGUGCUGCAUGGCUGUCGUCAGCUCGUGCCGUGAGUGU